Molecule: ribosomal RNA, 253 nt
Filed under: uncultured bacterium
Lineage: Bacteria
Also listed under: 1 other name
Description: partial 16S ribosomal RNA
Rfam family: Bacterial small subunit ribosomal RNA
Source: RNAcentral
UACGGAGGGUGCGAGCGUUGUCCGGAAUCACUGGGCGUAAAGGGCGCGUAGGCGGCUUGGCAAGUCAGUGGUGAAAGCCCGAGGCUCAACUUCGGGUCGGCCACUGAUACUGCUAGGCUUGAGUCGACUAGAGGCAGAUGGAAUUCCGGGUGUAGCGGUGGAAUGCGUAGAGAUCCGGAAGAACACCGGUGGCGAAGGCGGUCUGCUGGGGUCGAACUGACGCUGAGGCGCGACAGCGUGGGGAGCAAACAGG